This 67-nucleotide transfer RNA is filed under the name Empis tessellata. Its description in RNAcentral is "tRNA-Gly". Lineage: Eukaryota; Metazoa; Arthropoda; Insecta; Diptera; Empididae. The record is from RNAcentral.
AUUUAUAUAGUAUAUAGUAUAUAUGACUUCCAAUCAUAAGGUUUAUUUUUUAAUAAUAAUAUAAAUA